GUUCCGGAGACUCAACAUGAAGCUGCUGGCCAGGGUUUUGUUUACUCUGGGGUCCCGGCUGCCCUGUGGCCUCGCUCCUCCGCGGUUUUUCAGUUAUGGGACAAAAAUAUUAUAUCAAAACACUGAAGCUUUGCAGUCUAAAUUCUUUUCACCUCUUCAAAAAGCGAUGCUACCACCUAAUAGUUUUCAAGGAAAAGUGGCAUUCAUUACUGGGGGAGGUACUGGCCUUGGUAAAGGAAUGACAACUCUUCUGUCCAGCCUAGGUGCUCAGUGCGUGAUAGCCAGCCGGAAGAUGGAUGUUUUGAAAGCUACUGCAGAACAAAUUUCUUCCCAAACUGGAAAUAAGGUUCAUGCAAUUCAGUGUGAUGUGAGGGAUCCUGAUAUGGUUCAAAACACUGUGUCAGAACUGAUCAAAGUUGCAGGACAUCCUAAUAUUGUGAUAAACAAUGCAGCAGGGAAUUUUAUUUCUCCUACUGAAAGACUUUCUCCUAAUGCUUGGAAAACCAUAACUGACAUAGUUCUAAAUGGCACAGCCUUCAUGACACUAGAAAUUGGAAAACAACUAAUUAAAGCACAGAAAGAUGUACAUGUGCUUUUUCUUACAUGUGAAUGGACAUCCGAUAGCCUAGCUAACAUAAAGACUUUGGUGGAAAUAACUUUUAAGAACCUCAGGGAAUUUAAAACUAAGAAGUAGAAGCAACCCAAGGAAGCUUGAACCAUAUGGAGCUUGUGUUGGGGAAAGGGAAAGAGUGAAGUGAAUAA
RNAcentral lists this small RNA (762 nucleotides) under Pongo abelii (Sumatran orangutan). Its description in RNAcentral is "processed transcript". The record is from RNAcentral. Lineage: Eukaryota; Metazoa; Chordata; Mammalia; Primates; Hominidae.